This 2709-nucleotide long non-coding RNA is filed under the name Citrus sinensis (sweet orange). Its description in RNAcentral is "long non-coding RNA (CSIN_LNC004584)". The record is from RNAcentral. Lineage: Eukaryota; Viridiplantae; Streptophyta; Magnoliopsida; Sapindales; Rutaceae.
CCUUUAAUAUUUUAUAUUUUUCCUUUCCGAGUUGUCAGUUCACAUGACAGUAUGACACGGUCCAUCACUUUCAUAAACCAAAAAAGUGCUAACUGUUUAAAGCUAAUAAAAAUGAUAUCAAUAAGUUGUGAAAACCAAGGCUGACCAAAGACAUGUAAUCACGUGACCCAUAGAAGUUUAGCAAAGAUUAGAAAACAAGUAGUUGACACUGAAAUUGCCACGGCCCCACCAUGCCACCAUCUGCUAAUGACAGCUAUUGUAUUAUAUAAUUAUAAGUAGCCACUAGCCACUGAAAUCACUCAGCAUCAGGUGAGACUGAUCAGUGAUGUCCAAAAAAUGGUGUAUACGCGUAAAGCGCACUCAUACCAUUCGUGUGGUAGCUUUUAUAUCAUCAUCCUUGCCCUUUAUGGUCGGUCAGCCGAGCUUUUGGAAAACGAUGUGCAAUAAAAAAAAAAUAUCAGCACAUUCAAUGGAGCUUAUUAAUCGGAAUUGUACUGUUUAAGUUAAAAAUAUAUACAUUUAUAAAGUACACAACAAAUUCUAUUAGUCAGAUUUUAUUAGAAGUCUAAAAUCAAAUAUUUGCAGUACAUUUUAAAAAACUGACUACUAACUUAAAAAAUUUGCUUCCAUAAAUAUUAGGGUAAUGAUACUUUACAUCCAAAAUUUCCCCAUGAGAGAAAUCGAAUCCUAUUAGGGGAGGGUGUGAGUUCACCAUUUGACAACUAAGCCCAAUAGCCAUCAAGGGAUCCUAUUAACGAAAUGAAAGCCUACCUUACAAUAACCAUAAGAAAUCUUCUUGUUCUUCGUUUAUUUAUUUUGAUGAAUCUUGUUCUUCUUGAUCACAAGUUUUUAUCAAAUUCUUACGCGACCUAAACUCUACAAUAAGAGUCAAAAUGAAAAGGAAACUCUUCCGAACACAUUUCAAAAAGUCAUACUUAAUUAUUAAACAUAACGCUGAAAAUUCGUGUAUAACUAUGCAGAAGAUAUAAUCGUGCAAUGAACCAAGCCAGCUUCCACAAAAACUCUGGGCCAUCGUAUUUAAUUAGUGCCGAUUUAUUGGAAAAACAAGGUCUACUCUGAAUGCAACUUUAGACGAAGACUCAAAAGAAGCCGUCUCAAAUUAUAAACGUAUAGGUUUAUCAAGUGAUCAAACAGAGUCUACAUCAGCCGAUAACGUGGAAUUAGAGCAUAAAUACCAGUAUUAUAUGAUAUUAGCCUAAUUAAUACCUCUUAAUCAAAUUCAAAGUCCAAAAUUUUGACAAUUAUUAUUGUUAUUAUUUUCACACGAUUUUGAAGGGACUCAGACCUAAAUAAAGGAAAAAGGUAUCAAGCAACUCAAAAAAUUGUAAUUUUGUGACGAUUAAAGUCACUCGUUCCUAGCAAGCUAAACUAUAAUUACUACCUGAAGAAAUUCUCUGUUUUCAGACUUACUAAGUAAUAAUAGGUAAGAUACAACUAACUUAUAAUUGACAUAAAGUUUGAACAAUUAUAACCAAAACUUUAAAUUAACAAAUUCAUGAUGGAAAAAAAUUAAGCAUACAAUUCAAAAGCAUGCCACAGACUUGGACCAGAUAUUUUUGUGGAAUAAAAGAACAACUUGCUUUUUAACAUGUUUGGCCUACUUGGAGUUGCAACUUGCUUCUAAUUUUUUAUUAUAAAAGUAUCAUGAGGAAAAGAGUUGAAAUUAUUUAUUUAUUUGAUUAUUAUUAAUUCUUUUUGAAGUGCUUAUGAGAAGACGAAACAGGACAGACAACAAGAUGGGAUUCUUUGCAAACACCGAGGAGUGACAAGAGUCGCUUCUACAUCCUAGUGAGUAGUGGGUGCAUGUACAUGAUUCCUGAAAUUUAAUACUAUACAGACCGAUUUUAUAACAAACGAAGACUAUAAUAAUAAUAUUUAAUAAAAUAAAAUACGAAUAAUUCUUUUAAAAUACCAUCAUAAAAAUUGACAUUAAAGACUGGCCGCCGCCCGUCAGAGCUCAACAUAAAUAAUAAUAAAAAGUAUGAAAACUGACAAAUAGAUUUCAAAAGUAAUGGAAUGCUCUCGGCGAAGACGGACAAAUGCACUUCGUGAUUCAUAAAAAAAAAUGUUUAAAUUAAUAAAUCAAAUUCACAUGGGAGCAUAAUUUGUUUUCUGAAAACAAAAACAAAAGGAAUCUGCAGGCAAGGGAUCCAGGACUUCCAAAUAUCACGCACAUAAUCGGAAAAAAAAAUGAAAAUCCAGAAAAGCACAGACGAUUUCCAGAAAUGAGGCUCAGAUCCGGCGCAUUGAACAUUAAAACGAAAAAAGAAACUCAAAAUUCCACAAUAUCUCAGCUGCAUUAUAUUCAAAUCUCAAUCGAAUAUCGAUCCAGAUUUUAGACGAGCUAAAAAUCUGCGCAUGACAGCGCAAAAUCAGAAGCUAACAAGAUCUCAUAAUCGAUGAAAAAUGGAGCUAGAUCUAGCCUAAAUGUUUCGCCAUUGAAUUUAAGUACACAUUUUUUCAUCUUAUAUUUACUCAAACAGAAACAGAGGAAUUAGAAAAUGCGAACGAAUAAAUAUGGAAAUUUAAGAAUUUAAAAUAAAGCAAAAUAAAUUAAUAAUAAUAAGUACCUGAAGAAGCGAAGCACUUGGACUGCAAAGAAGAAGAAAAUGAGAGACCUCACUUUCUCUCCCUCUCUCUUUCUCGCCUUCGCCGGCCGCGUUGUGAGUUGUAAACGUUCGGCUCUCU